AGUGAACGCUGGCGAUAGGCCUAACACAUGCAAGUCGAACGGCAGCACAGUAAGAGCUUGCUCUUACGGGUGGCGAGUGGCGGACGGGUGAGGAAUACAUCGGAAUCUACUUUUUCGGGGGGGAUAACGUAGGGAAACUUACGCUAAUACCGCAUACGACCUACGGGUGAAAGCAGGGGAUCUUCGGACCUUGCGCGAUUGAAUGAGCCGAUGUCGGAUUAGCUAGUUGGCGGGGUAAAGGCCCACCAAGGCGACGAUCCGUAGCUGGUCUGAGAGGAUGAUCAGCCACACUGGAACUGAGACACGGUCCAGACUCCUACGGGAGGCAGCAGUGGGGAAUAUUGGACAAUGGGCGCAAGCCUGAUCCAGCCAUACCGCGUGGGUGAAGAAGGCCUUCGGGUUGUAAAGCCCUUUUGUUGGGAAAGAAAAGCAGCAGGUUAAUACCCCGCUGUUCUGACGGUACCCAAAGAAUAAGCACCGGCUAACUUCGUG
Molecule: ribosomal RNA, 492 nt
Filed under: uncultured bacterium
Lineage: Bacteria
Description: partial 16S ribosomal RNA
Rfam family: Bacterial small subunit ribosomal RNA
Source: RNAcentral